AUGCAUACAUCUAAACAACCUUUUCUUAAAUCUAAGCAACCCUUUAGUAAAUCCAAGCAAACUUUUAAUAAAUCCAAGCAACCCUUUCGUAAAUCCAAACAAACUUUUCGUAAAUUCAAGCAACCUUUUCAUAAAUCUAAACAACCUUUUCGUAGGCGUCCCCGGAUUGGCCCGGGAGAUCGAAUUGAUUAUAGAAACAUGAGUUUAAUUAAUAGAUUUAUUAAUGAACAAGGAAAAAUAUUAUCGAGACGAAUAAAUAGAUUAACCUUGAAACAACAAUGA
RNAcentral lists this ribosomal RNA (282 nucleotides) under Triticum aestivum (bread wheat). Its description in RNAcentral is "partial small subunit ribosomal RNA". Lineage: Eukaryota; Viridiplantae; Streptophyta; Magnoliopsida; Poales; Poaceae. The record is from RNAcentral.